GAUUAACGCUGGCGGCAUGCCUAAUACAUGCAAGUCGAACGGAAGCAGCAAUGCUUUAGUGGCGAACGGGUGAGUAACACGUAGGGAACCUACCUAUACGACGAGGAUAACUACUGGAAACGGUAGCUAAAACUGGAUAGGAUCAAUUGAGGCAUCUUGAUUGAUUUAAAGAUCCUUCGGGAUUACGUAGAGAUGGCCCUGCGGCGCAUUAGCUAGUUGGUGAGGUAACGGCCCACCAAGGCGACGAUGCGUAGCUGAGCUGAGAGGCUAAACAGCCACACUGGGACUGAGACACGGCCCAGACUCCUACGGGAGGCAGCAGUAGGGAAUUUUCGGCAAUGGGGGAAACCCUGACCGAGCAAUGCCGCGUGAACGAUGAAGGUCUUCGGAUUGUAAAGUUCUGUGAUUGGGGAAGAAUGGUAUUCUUAGGGAAUGAGGAGUACAUGACGGUACCCGAUUAGAAAGCCCCGGCUAACUAUGUGCCAGCAGCCGCGGUAAAU
Molecule: ribosomal RNA, 500 nt
Filed under: uncultured bacterium
Lineage: Bacteria
Description: bacterial SSU rRNA
Rfam family: Bacterial small subunit ribosomal RNA
Source: RNAcentral